UUUAUAUAGACACGACAUAUAUAUUCGAACCAGGUCAGGAUUGGAAAAUAGCAGCCUUAAGAAUCCCUAUAUGUGCGUGUCACUUUUUUAUGGG
RNAcentral lists this signal recognition particle RNA (94 nucleotides) under Mollicutes bacterium. Its description in RNAcentral is "signal recognition particle sRNA small type". The stretch from base 6 to 87 matches the Rfam family "Bacterial small signal recognition particle RNA". Rfam says of the family: The signal recognition particle (SRP) is a universally conserved ribonucleoprotein involved in the co-translational targeting of proteins to membranes. Archaeal SRP consists of a 7S RNA and homologues of the eukaryotic SRP19 and SRP54 proteins. In most bacteria, the SRP consists of a 4.5S RNA and the Ffh protein (a homologue of the eukaryotic SRP54 protein). The record is from RNAcentral. Lineage: Bacteria; Bacillati; Mycoplasmatota; Mollicutes.